UAUAUAUAUAUAUAUAUAUAUAUAUAAAUAAAAUUGCACGACCGGAAGAUAAAAACACGGCAUGUAUUGAGAGAACACGUCUUGUAAAGAUCCAAUAAAAUUAACCAAGUAUGUUAAAUUUUGGCAUUUAUUUUGAGUGAAUUAUUGGAAAAAAUCCAAAGAAAUAAAAGGCAUAUUGGAAAUAUAGGUCUUUAAAAAAGCGAACAAAAAUAAACAAAAAACUCCGGUUUUAGAUUUUAGUGAGUUGUUUUUAAAUACUGUAACGAUUGUUACAAUACCUAAUUAAAAUCUUAUGACGGAUACGUUUGGCUUUUGUAUUUUUAGUAAAUUCUUAAUAUCCUGUUCAAAUUCGCAGAUAAAUUAUAAAUAAAGGUUUUUAAAAAAAAGGUUAAAAAAAAAGGUUCUAUUAGCGACAAGCGGCUGUUAUCACCGAUAGAAUGGUUGAUAACGGUUGAUAACAGCCUGCUAGCAGGUAGAGCAGGGACCAACUGAGGCCAUUCAAUGGGGCUGAUAACCACUGAUAAUCGCCAUUCUAUGGGAUGAUAACAUCCGAAGCGGGUGCAUCUUUGUGGCUGUAA
Long non-coding RNA from Xiphophorus couchianus (Monterrey platyfish), 578 nucleotides. RefSeq lists it as uncharacterized. The record is from RefSeq and is a predicted model, not a curated record. NCBI's taxonomy places the organism in Eukaryota, Metazoa, Chordata, Actinopteri, Cyprinodontiformes, Poeciliidae. The transcript is spliced from 3 exons.